GUCGUUGAUGUAACACGGAAACUUUAUUUACUAAUAUCAAAAUUUAAUAACAGUGAGUACAGUCAUGAAUACUUUUUUGUUGUGUAUAAAGGUUGGAGGGGUUCCAACUUAAUAUGUAUGUCCCCAUUUAAAAGCAUUGAUCGCCAAAAAAAAAGGGGGAGUUCAAACCCCCGGACCUGACCUCACCUGUGAUUCACCACUUUAACAUGAAUAAAUAUGUACGAAUACGUUCUAAAAUAUCAUCAUUUAAAAUUGAGUUAUGUGGUUUUGCUUACUAUAGUUUCUUUUGUUACCUAUUUUGACAGCGGACUCGGACUUUGUUAGACUGAGUUCGACUUUGCAUAUUGUUGCGUGUUUGUUGAUUGCUUAUAAGGUACAGGUAAAGGGAAGGGUUGAGCUCCUACAAAGUAUGUUUAAAUCCAAUGCAAUUUUGCGCCUGUCCCAAGUCAGAAGCCUCUAGCCUUGACGUCAUAAAAUUUUUGAGUCAGUUUUUUGUACUCAUUAUCCAAAAUCCAACAUGUUUCGAGCAUGAUUUUUGUGCUCCGAGCACUGAGCAAAGUUUUAUGACUUCAACCCGUGGUCUUUGUUAAGCUUCUAUGUUUUCUUUUACGGGAUACGGGAUUUACUCGCUUUGUUGAAGACCCAUUGGUGGUAUUGAGUUGUUUUCUGUCCUAUGGUCGGUGGCCGCAGCGCUUUUUAUAAAUAUUUCUUCUUUGCAUUACGAACGGUCAAUGGCAAAUAGUUGAAAGUCAAAUUUGUAUAAAAUGUAGAUGGUGAAGACUUAACUGUGUAAAGUGUUUGUAUUAUUUUAAUUACAUUUAAUAUUUAUAAGCGCAACAACUUCACAUGUUUCAUUUACAAUUGGAUAAAACGCCUAUAUAUAACUCUCAUUUAUCUUGCUAUGCAUGUACAGCAAGCUAUGUUAUUUGGUAUGAAACCAUAAAAUUGAGAAUGGAAAUGGGGAAUGUGCCAAAGAGACAACAACCCGACCAUAGAAAAAAACAAGACAAGAAGGUCACUAACAGGUCUUCAAUGUAGCGAGAAAUUCCCGCACCCGGAGGCGUCCUUCAGCUGGCCCUAAACAAAUAUAUACUAGUUCAGUGAUAAUGAACGCCAUGAUCUGUACUAAUUUCCAAAUUGUACAGUACAAUAGGCAAAGGGAAAUAAGUUAAAUGUGUGAAAUAAUUAACAUAUCAAAUAACUAAUUGGCAAAAACACCAUGAUUAAGGAAAAUGUAUAAGAAAGAAACCAAGCUGCUACUAGUAGUUUUUCAAUUUAGACAGUCACAAUUGUCAAAUCAGCGGUCGUCGUAUACACUUACUCGCAGCACACACUUAAUAUAAGGGAGCGACAAUUUGAUUUUUAGCGAGAGGGGUCAAGGAUGAACAAAUUUGUCCUUCAUCUUUUUUAAGUUGUAAUCUCUGUCCUGCCUUUUUCUCUCACUCUACUCGGUUGUCUCUCUCCAUUUGUUUUUAAUUUAUCCUGACUUUUUUUUACAUAACUUGUCAUUAUACCUGUUUUUUUGGCAAAGUUGUUCAUCCUACUUAUUUUACUUUAAACUCCUGUCCUGCCUAAAGUAUAUACAUAAAAAUUUACGUAGUAAUACAUGUAAUACAUGUUACUUGAAUCAGAAUAAAACAGUCAACACAAAGAAGUCAUUUACCUGCAACACAAUUUUUAUGUACACAUGUUUAAACAAACUAACCUUUUUUUUUACAUAAAUAAGGCCGUUAGUUUUCUCGUUUGAAUUGUUUUACAUUGUCUUAUCGGGGCCUAUUAUAGCUGACUAUGCGGUAUGGGCUUUGCUCAUUGUCGAAGGCCGUACGGUGACCUAUAUUUGUUAAUGUCUGUGUCAUUUUGGUCUUGUGUGUAUAGUUGUCUCAUUGGCAAUCAUACCACAUCUUCUUUUUAUAUUAGUUUAACUGUUGAAGGACUGUUAUAAAUUGAUCUUAUAUGAUAAACGGCACUACAUGAACUACACAAGUAGAAAUAAUAUAAGAUCCAUGUACUUGUUUUUGAGGUUUUGUCCCUUGAAAAAUUGUCGGGACAUGAUUAUCUUUAGAAUUUUCUUCUAUUGAAUAUAAGCACCUUUUAAUGUCCCUGCAACUAAAAAUUGAAGGGCUUCUUGUUUUACCCCUGUCCGUCCUUCUGUCAGUCCAUCCGUUCGUCCGUCCGUUCGUCUCAUUAUUAGUAUAUAGUUGGGAAUCUGAUGUUCAGUUGUUGUCGUUUGUUGAUGUGGUUCAUAAGUGUUUCUUGUUUUAUGAAUAUAUUAGACCGUUGGUUUCCUAUUUGAAUGAAUUUAAAUUCAUUUUAGUAAUUUUUGGUGCUCUUCAUAGCUUGCUGUUCGGUGUGAACAAAGGCCCCGCGUUGAACACCGUACUUUGAAAUAUAAAUGGUUUGUCUAGUUUUCUAUGAUGUUUUAUGAAAAAUUUGGCAAUCUUUGUAUUUAUGUGUAUUAGAAACAAAUAAUACUGACUUCUGAUAUCUAUUGUAGACAGAGGAAACAAUGGUUAAAGCAAUGUUGAUCAUUCUGUUAUUGGUGACAGUGACAUGCGCAUCCGCAUUUCCGGAUAAAAGAGCGGCAGUUUGUACAGGGUCCAGCGGAACUAUUUAUUUCGAGAAUUUCUGUGGUUGUAUAGGAAAAACACG
RNAcentral lists this long non-coding RNA (2649 nucleotides) under Mytilus galloprovincialis (Mediterranean mussel). The record is from RNAcentral. Lineage: Eukaryota; Metazoa; Mollusca; Bivalvia; Mytilida; Mytilidae.